Molecule: ribosomal RNA, 253 nt
Filed under: uncultured bacterium
Lineage: Bacteria
Description: partial 16S ribosomal RNA
Rfam family: Bacterial small subunit ribosomal RNA
Source: RNAcentral
UACAGAGGUCUCAAGCGUGGUUCGGAUUCAUUGGGCGUAAAGGGCGCGUAGGCGGCACGGCAAGUCAGGAGUGAAAGGCCUGGGCUCAACCGAGGAACUGCUUUUGAGACUGCCGAGCUAGAGUGCAGAAGGGGCAACUGGAAUUCCCAGUGUAGCGGUGAAAUGCGUAGAUAUUGGGAAGAACACCUGAGGCGAAGGCGGGUUGCUGGGCUGACACUGACGCUGAGGCGCGAAAGCCAGGGGAGCAAACGGG